GACGAACGCUGGCGGUGUGCUUAACACAUGCAAGUCGAACGGAAAGGCCCUGCUUUUGUGGGGUGCUCGAGUGGCGAACGGGUGAGUAACACGUGAGUAACCUGCCCUUGACUUUGGGAUAACUUCAGGAAACUGGGGCUAAUACCGGAUAGGAGCUCCUGCUGCAUGGUGGGGGUUGGAAAGUUUCGGCGGUUGGGGAUGGACUCGCGGCUUAUCAGCUUGUUGGUGGGGUAGUGGCUUACCAAGGCUUUGACGGGUAGCCGGCCUGAGAGGGUGACCGGCCACAUUGGGACUGAGAUACGGCCCAGACUCCUACGGGAGGCAGCAGUGGGGAAUAUUGCACAAUGGGCGGAAGCCUGAUGCAGCAACGCCGCGUGCGGGAUGACGGCCUUCGGGUUGUAAACCGCUUUCGCCUGUGACGAAGCGUGAGUGACGGUAAUGGGUAAAGAAGCACCGGCUAACUACGUGCCAGCAGCCGCGGUGAUACGUAGGGUGCGAGCGUUGUCCGGAUUUAUUGGGCGUAAAGGGCUCGUAGGUGGUUGAUCGCGUCGGAAGUGUAAUCUUGGGGCUUAACCCUGAGCGUGCUUUCGAUACGGGUUGACUUGAGGAAGGUAGGGGAGAAUGGAAUUCUUGGUGGAGCGGUGGAAUGCGCAGAUAUCAGGAGGAACACCAGUGGCGAAGGCGGUUCUCUGGGCCUUUCCUGACGCUGAGGAGCGAAAGCGUGGGGAGCGAACAGGCUUAGAUACCCUGGUAGUCCACGCUGUAAACGGUGGGUACUAGGUGUGGGGUCCAUUCCACGGGUUCCGUGCCGUAGCUAACGCUUUAAGUACCCCGCCUGGGGAGUACGGCCGCAAGGCUAAAACUCAAAGGAAUUGACGGGGCCCCGCACAAGCGGCGGAGCAUGCGGAUUAAUUCGAUGCAACGCGUAGAACCUUACCUGGGUUUGACAUGGAUCGGGAGUGCUCAGAGAUGGGUGUGCCUCUUUUGGGGUCGGUUCACAGGUGGUGCAUGGCUGUCGUCAGCUCGUGUCGUGAGAUGUUGGGUUAAGUCCCGCAACGAGCGCAACCCUUGUUCACUGUUGCCAGCACGUUAUGGUGGGGACUCAGUGGAGACCGCCGGGGUCAACUCGGAGGAAGGUGGGGAUGACGUCAAGUCAUCAUGCCCCUUAUGUCCAGGGCUUCACGCAUGCUACAAUGGCUGGUACAGAGAGUGGCGAGUCUGUGAGGGUGAGCGAAUCUCGGAAAGCCGGUCUCAGUUCGGAUUGGGGUCUGCAACUCGACCUCAUGAAGUCGGAGUCGCUAGUAAUCGCAGAUCAGCAACGCUGCGGUGAAUACGUUCCCGGGGCU
Molecule: ribosomal RNA, 1346 nt
Filed under: uncultured bacterium
Lineage: Bacteria
Description: partial 16S ribosomal RNA
Rfam family: Bacterial small subunit ribosomal RNA
Source: RNAcentral